RNAcentral lists this ribosomal RNA (250 nucleotides) under uncultured bacterium. RNAcentral describes it as "partial 16S ribosomal RNA". It matches the Rfam family "Bacterial small subunit ribosomal RNA", at positions 524 to 773 of the family's 1533-position model. The record is from RNAcentral.
AACGUAGGAGGCGAGCGUUAUCCGGAUUUACUGGGUGUAAAGCGCGUGCAGGCGGCCGGUCAAGUUGGAUGUGAAAGCUCCUGGCUCAACCGGGAGAGGACGUUCAAAACUGACCGGCUGGAGCAUGGUAGGGGAAGGUGGAAUUCCGGGUGGAGUGGUGAAAUGCGUAGAGAUCCGGAGGAACACCAGUGGCGAAGGCGGCCUUCUAGACCAUGUCUGACGCUCAGACGCGAAAGCUAGGGUAGCAAAC